CUGCUGCCUUCCGUAGGAGUCUGGGCCGUGUCUCAGUCCCAAUGUGGCCGGUCACUCUCUCAAGCCGGCUACUGAUCGUUGCUUUGGUAGGCCGUUACCCCGCCAACUGGCUAAUCAGACGCGAGCUCAUCUUUGGACGAUAAAUCUUUGGCAGCAAAAUCAUGCGGUCUCGCUGCAUCAUGCGGUAUUAGCAGUCGUUUCCGGCUGUUAUCCCCCAUCCAAAGGCAGAUUGCU
RNAcentral lists this ribosomal RNA (234 nucleotides) under uncultured bacterium. Its description in RNAcentral is "partial 16S ribosomal RNA". The record is from RNAcentral.